RNAcentral lists this ribosomal RNA (116 nucleotides) under uncultured bacterium. Its description in RNAcentral is "partial 16S ribosomal RNA". It matches the Rfam family "Bacterial small subunit ribosomal RNA", at positions 1356 to 1482 of the family's 1533-position model. The record is from RNAcentral.
CGCGCGGUGAAUACGUUCCCGGGUCUUGUACACACCGCCCGUCAAGCCACGAAAGUCACCAACACCCGAAGUCCUAUCUUGUAUAGGCCUAAGGGUGGGGGGGGAUGAUUGGGGUU